Molecule: ribosomal RNA, 250 nt
Filed under: uncultured bacterium
Lineage: Bacteria
Description: partial 16S ribosomal RNA
Rfam family: Bacterial small subunit ribosomal RNA
Source: RNAcentral
GACGGAGGGUGCAAGCGUUGUUCGGAUUGACUGGGCGUAAAGGGCGUGUAGGCGGUUGGUUAAGUCGGGUGUGAAAUCCCGGGGCUCAGCUCCGGAAGUGCGCCCGAAACUGGCUAGCUAGAGCGCGGUAGAGGAGGGUGGAAUUCCUGGUGUAGCGGUGAAAUGCGUAGAUAUCAGGAGGAACACCGGCGGCGAAGGCGGCCCUCUGGACCGUUGCUGACGCUGAGACGCGAAAGCGUGGGGAGCAAAC